RNAcentral lists this long non-coding RNA (1480 nucleotides) under Cyanistes caeruleus (blue tit). Its description in RNAcentral is "lncRNA (ENSCCEG00000018624.1)". The record is from RNAcentral. Lineage: Eukaryota; Metazoa; Chordata; Aves; Passeriformes; Paridae.
AAGUAACAGUCAGAGUUCCCAGCUGAAGUUGCAUGAGAAACAUUUGAGUGUGAUUGGAAUAAGGAAUAUUUGGAUCAAUACUUGACUGAGAGCCUGGGUCACCAGCAGUAAAGUCAUUGCCUGAGAGCUCAGAGUGAACACUUGACUCUGCCAGGACAGGGUGUGUGUUCUAUCAAGUCAGAGUGCAAUCUCACAGGGUGAAGCAUCAUGAAAAAUCCAGUAGCUAUGAAUCAGUGACGCUAGCAAGGAUAGAACAACAGGGGACCUCAACCCUUCUGCUUCAGGGCAUGAAUUGUUUUAGAAAGAUGAAAGGCAUUUUCACCCCUUUUUUCCCUGAAGUAUAAUAGAGAGCAAUUGGCUCCUCUGGCUGCAUGUCAGAGUCAGUUCCUCUCAAGUAUCAAGCACUGACCAUCACUGAUGAGAGGGCAGUAGGAGAGUGGGACUCUUGGGUGCUAAUUCUUGUUUGCACAGAAAAGCAAGGCAUGUAGGCAGAUAAAUACUUCAAAGCUGUAAAAAACCCAAAAAACAACCUGUGUGGCUUCUGAGAGUUAGAGGUUGAGACACACAGAUCUCUGUGCCUCUAGGUCAAAUAAAGUUUUGUCAUCCUCAGCCUCUGAAGUGAUUAAAUUUGUCCCAGUAUCAUUAGAAAAUGGAAUUAGCAGCAAUUUGUGGAGCCACAGUAGCCUGGGGGUGGUUUCAGCGGAUACAGCGACACCACUCUAAUAACAAGGGCUGAGAAUGACAUGUCACAAUUACUGUUGGUGCUGCUGUUGAUUUAUGUCAAUGCAACAGUUCCAUGGCAUCCAUCAUUCAGCUUUAUGCUGAUCUCCUGAAAAGUAUCUCUGGAGUCAGCCAAAAAGAGAAAGGCAGAAAGAUCCACUCAGAAAGGUCCACUCACAUGAUGCUGUCUCUAUUUGCAUGAGGCUUCAAGCACUUAAACUGAAGGAGGAAGAGAUGACCAUGCUGGUGAUGGACAUGAAAAUUUAGGGGACCUCAGGAACUUUUUACUGGCUCUGUCACCAGUGGAAGAAGUUCCUGUCCAGACACAAAUUUCAAACUCUCAACUCAUGUUCUGAUAACCCACAAGCCCUCUUGAUGAAGCUCAUUAAUAUCUUUCUUCCCAGUCCUAAAACUUGACCCUAUGUUUCCAAUAAUCAUACUUCCUUCACUGGUGCCUCUAUGUUUUACUUUUAUUGAAUUGCAUCAGAUAUAGGCUAAACCAGAUUUAUUUUGGGGAAGGAGGAAGAACUGAUACAGUCUGCAUCCAUCCAGGUGAAAUCAAAGUAAAGAAAGCUUUAGUGCAACUUAUAGCAUUUGUUAGUGCUACCCAAAAAUGUGACCACACUUGUCCAAAAAACAUAAAUGUCAAAUUGGAUCAAGUUAUUUUAAAGCUCUAGGAAAGGAGUACUUAUUUUAGUAAAUUAAUUUGACUGGUUUAGAUCAGAAAAACAAAGGCAAAGAAGAUUUUAACAGCUUCCUG